UCAUAUAGCAUAAAAUAAGUUUACAGGCGGAAGCUGUACGCUCUUGUACACAAGCAUAUUUUUCAUAGCUAACUCGUACAGCUAUUUUUUUCAGAGUAUAGCACGAUAGGAUCACAACAGGGGUUAACUCCUAAUUAACAUAUUUACAAGCUACAUCCAUAUAUACACGACCGAGCAUAUAUAUGAUGCUUCAUGGACGAUGGAACCACAGCUUAUGGACGGUGAACUCCGCGUUCUUAUUGAUGUCGUCUCGCUCCUUCUUGCAACUCCCACUUCUUUCUCGCGAUGAAUUCCUCCGCCAACUUGUUGAUGUCAGGUAUGUUGAUGAAUUCAAUCGCCACCUCCCC
RNAcentral lists this long non-coding RNA (347 nucleotides) under Panicum hallii. RNAcentral's name for it is "long non-coding RNA (PHAL_LNC000297)". The record is from RNAcentral. Lineage: Eukaryota; Viridiplantae; Streptophyta; Magnoliopsida; Poales; Poaceae.